UACAGAGGUCCCGAGCGUUAGGCGGAAUCACUGGGCUUAAAGAGCGUGUAGGCGGCUCGCUAAGUCUUGCGUGAAAUCUCGGGGCUCAACCCCGAGCGGUCGUGAGAAACUGGCGGGCUAGAGUGCGGGAGAGGAGAGUGGAAUUCCUGGUGUAGCGGUGAAAUGCGCAGAUAUCAGGAAGAACACCCGUGGCGAAGGCGGCUCUCUGGAACGCAACUGACGCUGAGACGCGAAAGCGUGGGGAGCAAACAGG
Molecule: ribosomal RNA, 253 nt
Filed under: uncultured bacterium
Lineage: Bacteria
Description: partial 16S ribosomal RNA
Rfam family: Bacterial small subunit ribosomal RNA
Source: RNAcentral